RNAcentral lists this ribosomal RNA (402 nucleotides) under Triticum aestivum (bread wheat). RNAcentral describes it as "partial small subunit ribosomal RNA". Lineage: Eukaryota; Viridiplantae; Streptophyta; Magnoliopsida; Poales; Poaceae. The record is from RNAcentral.
AUGCUCGCCGCUCGGCUGGCUCCAGAGAUACACAACUUGGUCACGCAAAAUCAGAGCGCCUUCAUUCGAGGAAGGUCAAUCCAGGACAAUUUUCUCUAUGUCAAGAAUGUGAUAAAAGCGGCUCACUCGACAAAAUCACCGCUUGUGUUCCUUAAGCUGGACGUGGCCAAGGCCUUCGACUCAGUAUCCUGGGAAUAUUUGUUAGAGGUGAUGGAGGCAAUGGGGUUUGGACAGAGAUGGAGAGACAUGAUUGCUCUGAUAUUGGUGUCGUCCUCUUCUAGAAUACUGUUGAAUGGAACACCCGGAGCGCCUUUUCUCCAUCUCCGUGGCCUGAGCAGGGAGACCAGCUGUCCCCUCUGCUUUUCAUCAUUGCUAUGGAACCACUGCAGAGACUGCUUGUGA